Panicum hallii is the source of this 3315-nucleotide RNA transcript. It is a transcript of the gene named paired amphipathic helix protein Sin3-like 5, with no coding region annotated. The transcript is spliced from 17 exons. The record is from RefSeq and is a predicted model, not a curated record. Lineage: Eukaryota; Viridiplantae; Streptophyta; Magnoliopsida; Poales; Poaceae.
GUCCGCCUCUUCUCCUUCCCUCCCCUCGCGCCAUCGCCGGUGCCGCACCCCGGUGGUUUGGGUUCCUGCCCUAGAGAGCUGAGCUAGGGCGCCGCCGCUAGCCUUCGUCUUCUUCGCCAACCCGAAGCCUCGCAGAGGCAAGCUGGUGCUCCGGCCGCGCAGGUGUUUGUGUGUUUGCUGCACCGAUAUACCCUUUUGUGCGUCUCCAGUGCCUGCGGAUGGUCCAGGGAAUGGCGCCUUCCGGCGAGCCCGGUGGUGAAGAUCUGCACAAAAGGGCACUUGAGAACCACCGUAAGGAGGCUGUGGGGUUCCUCAUCCUUGCUAAGUCCAUACUCAGCGACGAUGCAUACAAGGAUCUCAUCAAGACAUCACAGGAGAUUGUUAAACGAAGUUCAUGUACUGAAGGUGGAAUCACGGCCAAAAAGUGCGAAGAAAUUCUGUCGGAAGUGUUUGCUGGCCAAACUCACGUCCUAAAGGCCUUCCAUCUCUUUCUGGCUGGGCGUGAUCCCUUCCACGACCACGACAGCCAGCAGAGCUUACAGCUUGCACUCUCUUUCCUUUCGAAAGUGAAGGAGUCCCCGUGUAUAUCCCAUGAAGAUUACAAUGAUUUAAUAGCCACCCUGACUCAGUUUAUUGUCACAAAAACCGUGGGAGUUGAAGACGUUUACAGAAAGGUAAAGAGAGCCAUGUAUUGGUGCCCAGAGUUCAUACAAAUCUUCGAAAAUUUUCUGUCUGAUAGCCCAAGGGUGACUCUACCAAAUGAGCAAUCUCACCGAAGUCCAAAGACUAGUCCUACUGACAAGGCAGUUUUAUGCUUUACUCCAGAUGCAAAUCAUAGCUUGGAUGGUAACCGAACAAAAACAACUAAUAUCAAAUGUAAUGUGUCUCAAGUGGGGCAUCCCCACGAUCAAGACCAUGAAGAAACAGAGUACAAUGUCAGGCAGAGACAUACUCAAAGGAUCCUUGACUCCUUUGAAACACCUACCACAGGUAAUGGAGAAUCACUUCUUGCAGAAGAGUAUGAGGGAGACAAAACUGAUCCCUUACCAGACUGGAGUUCCUCAAGAGAAAAUGAAUUACCCCCAAAAGUGAACCUCGAUAUGUGCACACGUUGCACUACUAGCUAUUACCUACUACCAAAGAAUUGUUUAACUCUAAAAUCAAGUUACCGGACCGAGCUGGGGCAGUCUAUAUUUAACGACACAUUGGUUUCUGCUACCUCUGGGAGGGAGGAUUGCUUUAAAUUCAGAACUAAAAAUCAUUAUGAAGAAAAUAUUUUCAAAUGUGAAGAUGACAUGUUUGAGAGUGACAUGCUAUUGCAGCGCUACAAAGCAACCGCUGACUUUAUUGGAAAUCUGCAAGACAAUGUUGACAGCGCUAUGAAAAUUCAAGAGUAUCUAACUCCCUUACAUAGGAGGUGCAUUGAACAGUUAUACGAUGAACAUGGCCUCGACAUGCUUGAUGCACUGUGGGAGAAAAUUGAUACCAGUACAGCUCUUGUUAUUCUACAUUCUCGUUUAAAUCAGAAGAUAGACGAUUUGUCAGAGGCACGGUUAUCUUUGAAUAAAACGUGCUCCAAUAUUAUUGCCAGUAAUUAUCACAGAUCACUUGAUCAUCGAAGCUCGUCCUUCAAACAAUUGGAUAAGAGGAGGAUGAGCCCAAAAGCUUUGCUUGCUGAAGCCAGAGAAAUUAAUAUGGCAAGGUUGAACAAUGGGAAUCGACAUGUUUCUUCUGCUUGCAACAAUCAAUCAAGUUUGAUUUUGGAACAUGUACCUAAAGAUACUGAGCUUCACAUCCACAAUGACAUAGACAGGAUGGUUCGCCGUGCCACCAAAAGCUGUCCUUCUGAACAAAAGCCAAUGAUGAUUUGGACAAAAUUAGUUCAACCAUUUGUUUCUAUUAAUUGUCAGUUACCAGAAUCAAAUGGCACUGUAGCUCCCAAAGAAGCUUGUGAACAUUGUGGUCUUGGCAAAAAAUUUCUCAGGAGCAUCCCUGAGUCUUCGUUUGCUAAUAAUAUUCCUUUAUCUUCGAUGAGAGGUGGAUAUCUCGUAAAUACACCCAAUAGGUCUGCUUCUAUACACGACGCUUGUCAGACAGAGAUCGAGGAGGGUGAAUUCAUACCAGAUGUCGGAAACAUCCAGUUAGGGUCCAUGCUUGAACCUGAGAAUGGAGCAGCAAGUUAUGAUGUUCCUGAUCCCAGUGAAGCUGGGUCAAGUUUUCGGUGCUCAGGCAGUAGUAUUUAUGAUCAGGGUAAUAAAUCUGAAGUGCAUCAUGAAUCAAGAGAAGGCUGCAAUGUUGAAAUGGGAAGUUUAGCAUAUUCCAAGAGACCAGCUGAACCGCAUGAUGUGAAUGGCGGUAUACCUUGCUGUUCUCUGGUUGUGCUCUUGAGGCUUCACCAGAUUUUGUGUGAGAGACUACUAGUAGCAAAAGUUCUUUCGGCAAAAGCAAGGGACAAAGCUCCUUCUCGAGGUUCCGGCACUUGUGAUGUAUAUGCGGGGUUUAAGGAGGAACUCUUUAACCUACUAACAGGCUCUACUAACAGUUCUAACUUUGAGAAGUACUGCCUGACUUUCCUUGGGCCGAAAUCCUAUGUACUCUUUACUCUAAACGAGGUGAUGGGCCGAGUUAUCAAGCAGUUAAUUUGUCCUCCAGCUCUGCAAAAUUUGUCCAGGUGCUGAAGAUAGCUCGCUUCUUCAGCCCCAUGAGGGAGCGAGAGGACCAGACCCAUCCAAAUAUAUAUCCCGCCAUCAAAAUGCAAUAAGAUCUCCGGCUCGUCCAACAAACGGAUCACUGGAGCAAGAUCAUCAUGAGGAGGGCGAGAAAGGUAGCAAGCCUCUCGACGACACUGGUAAGCCGAUGCAGAACCAUUUUCAGAGAAGGAAAAAGCGGAAGCUGGAGGCGGGUAUAGCGAGCAUAUCUCAGCCUGGCGCAGAUGGUUUAAACUCGUAGCUCCCGGAUGGAACUCGUAGUAGAAUAGCUGUUGUACAAAAGUUUGUACCAAAUCCAUCAUGAAUGUAUGCUUGGGUGUAGUGUAGCAAAGCAAUUUUGUUGGCUGCAAUAGGCAUGCACGAGCUGGUAGAAGUCGUAGUCGUAGCCCACAGAGAUAUAUAAAUGGUGAGCAGAACACCACUUUUUCUGCUGCUGAUCCUAUAUGAGUGUAACCUUAUUAGCUGAGAGAUUGAAUGCCCUAAGUAGGGAAGAUGAGGCCAACUGGCCAGCCAACUUUUCGAACCGGGAUUACCCCCAUUUCCAUUGCAUAACGGAAGCAACAUUGAACUAAGUCUGGAAAUAGAGCUUGGGGAGGAGGGGGAGCAA